This 758-nucleotide ribosomal RNA is filed under the name Vibrio sp. DJCJ17. RNAcentral describes it as "bacterial SSU rRNA". It matches the Rfam family "Bacterial small subunit ribosomal RNA", at positions 406 to 1156 of the family's 1533-position model. The record is from RNAcentral. Lineage: Bacteria; Pseudomonadati; Pseudomonadota; Gammaproteobacteria; Vibrionales; Vibrionaceae.
UGAAGAAGGCCUUCGGGUUGUAAAGUACUUUCAGCAGUGAGGAAGGUGGUGUGUUUAAUAGACACAUCAUUUGACGUUAGCUGCAGAAGAAGCACCGGCUAACUCCGUGCCAGCAGCCGCGGUAAUACGGAGGGUGCGAGCGUUAAUCGGAAUUACUGGGCGUAAAGCGCAUGCAGGUGGAUGAUUAAGUCAGAUGUGAAAGCCCGGGGCUCAACCUCGGAAUAGCAUUUGAAACUGGUCAUCUAGAGUACUGUAGAGGGGGGUAGAAUUUCAGGUGUAGCGGUGAAAUGCGUAAAGAUCUGAAGGAAUACCGGUGGCGAAGGCGGCCCCCUGGACAGAUACUGACACUCAGAUGCGAAAGCGUGGGGAGCAAACAGGAUUAGAUACCCUGGUAGUCCACGCCGUAAACGAUGUCUACUUGGAGGUUGUGGCCUUGAGCCGUGGCUUUCGGAGCUAACGCGUUAAGUAGACCGCCUGGGGAGUACGGUCGCAAGAUUAAAACUCAAAUGAAUUGACGGGGGCCCGCACAAGCGGUGGAGCAUGUGGUUUAAUUCGAUGCAACGCGAAGAACCUUACCUACUCUUGACAUCCAGAGAAGCCAGUGGAGACACAGGUGUGCCUUCGGGAGCUCUGAGACAGGUGCUGCAUGGCUGUCGUCAGCUCGUGUUGUGAAAUGUUGGGUUAAGUCCCGCAACGAGCGCAACCCUUAUCCUUGUUUGCCAGCGAGUAAUGUCGGGAACUCCAGGGAGACUGCCGGU